This 328-nucleotide ribosomal RNA is filed under the name uncultured Pseudomonadota bacterium. RNAcentral's name for it is "bacterial SSU rRNA". It matches the Rfam family "Bacterial small subunit ribosomal RNA", at positions 30 to 351 of the family's 1533-position model. The record is from RNAcentral. Lineage: Bacteria; Pseudomonadati; Pseudomonadota.
AUUGAACGCUGGCGGCACGCCUAACACAUGCAAGUCGAGCGGUAGCAGGACUAGUAGCAAUACUAGUUGCUGACGAGCGGCGGACGGGUGAGGGAACACGUAGGAAUCUACCCUCAAGCGGGGGACAACCAAGGGAAACUUUGGCUAAUACCGCAUAAUCUCGAGAGAGUAAAGUUACCCUGUAAGGGGCGACACUUGAGGAGGAGCCUGCGUCCGAUUAGCUAGUUGGUGAGGUAAAAGCUCACCAAGGCAAUGAUCGGUAACUGGUCUGAGAGGACGACCAGUCACACUGGGACUGAGACACGGCCCAGACUCCUACGGGAGGCAG